RNAcentral lists this long non-coding RNA (677 nucleotides) under Elaeis guineensis (African oil palm). RNAcentral describes it as "long non-coding RNA (EGUI_LNC051930)". The record is from RNAcentral. Lineage: Eukaryota; Viridiplantae; Streptophyta; Magnoliopsida; Arecales; Arecaceae.
CUCCCUUGGAUGUCUAACGUCCUCCUCUUUGGGUGUCCAUCUUCUUCAUGCUCAUAAGGGCUUUGGGCAUUCACCUCUUGUGCUAGUUUUUAGUCCUUGGUAGCAGCAUAAUCAAAGAAAAAAAAGCAAGAGAAGAAGAGAAGAAGAAGAUCAAGGAUAGGAUUAAAGAGUUGAUCAUGAUCCAGACUUCGUUCAGAUUCGCAGGCUGAUUUUUCUUAGAGAAGAAAAAUUAAUUUUAAGAGAGCUAUUCCAGGCUGAUCUUGAAUAAAUACCCAUAGAGAUCGAGCACUUAUGCGGCUAAAAGAGAGCCUCUUCUCUUUUAGAUCUAAAUUUGAAGAAAGAAAUUAUGAAACAGGUAUGUGAUUCGAUCACAUGAUCAAUUUCAACAUAUGAAGUAGAUCCUUAUGGUUUAUAUUUUAUGCAUGUAUGAUAUAAAUUAAAAGAAGUUUUAAUCUUCUAUUUCACUACCAUGUUUAAAAAAAAAAUUUGAAACAUACAUGCAUGCCCUGACAUAGAAAUUCUAACGGUUAUAGCUACUUCAUUACCUUUACUGAUGAUUUGUCUAGGUAUGGGUAUGUGUAUCUGAUGAAACACAAAUCUUAAGCCUUUGAAAAGUUUAAAAAAUUUAGAAAUAAAGUAAAAAAAUAGACAGACAAAUUCAUUAAGGUUCUUCAAUC